Molecule: ribosomal RNA, 440 nt
Filed under: uncultured bacterium
Lineage: Bacteria
Description: partial 16S ribosomal RNA
Rfam family: Bacterial small subunit ribosomal RNA
Source: RNAcentral
CCUACGGGAGGCAGCAGUGGGGGAUAUUGCACAAUGGGGGGAACCCUGAUGCAGCGACGCCGCGUGGGUGAAGAAGCGCCUCGGCGCGUAAAGCCCUGUCAGCAGGGAAGAAAAUGACGGUACCUGACGAAGAAGCACCGUCCAACUACGUUCCAGCAGCGGCGGCAAUACGUAGGGGGCAAGCGUUAUCCGGAUUUAGUGGGUGUUAAGGGGGCGUAGACGGCGAUGCAAGCCAGGAGUGAAAGCCCGGGGCCCAACCCCGGGACUGCUGUUGAAACUGCGUGGCUGGAGUGGAGGAGGGGCAGGCGGAAUGCGGGGUGUAGCGGUGAAAUGCGUAGAUAUCAGGAGGAACACCGGUGGCGAAGGCAGCCUGCUGGACUGCCACUGACGUUGAGGCCCGAAAGCGUGGGGAGCAAACAGGAUUAGAUACCCGAGUAGUC